Sus scrofa (pig) is the source of this 636-nucleotide non-coding RNA. The record is from RefSeq and is a predicted model, not a curated record. Lineage: Eukaryota; Metazoa; Chordata; Mammalia; Artiodactyla; Suidae.
GUUUACAUUAAUAACUAAUUUUAAUACACUGUGGCUUAUCACUAGAGUUUGAAUCCUCCACGAGUCAUUAGUUUUUGAAGUUUCUUUUUGCUUUUUAGGGCCAUACCCACAGCAUAUGGAGCGGCCCAAGAAAUGGCAAAAAGACCAAAAAGAAAAAAAAAAAAAAAAUGGAGUUAACAAAAUUUUUCAAGAGCUCACUUGAAAAGCUAUUUGCCAGGAUACUUACCCUCACACAAUAAAGGCAAUACAAGGCCCAAAAUAUUGGGGUAGUUCAGCAAAUGAAAAAGGACUUUAACCAAAAAAAAGGAGGAGGAAAGGGUGGAAAUGAAUACUCAAAACAAGAUUAUUUUUUUCCUUUUUCCAAGACAAUACUAUAGACUUGCUAAUCCAAAAAUGACAAUUAAGAGAUUAAGGACUAACUUUAUCAUGAGUGCCAACUAAAAAUUUCAUACUGAUAGAUUUAACCCAUGGUUAAUAAUUGAAUAGGUAUUACCAUGAUUACAAACCUUACAACAGUAUGGCCCUAUGGCUUGCUAACUUUUUUUGCUGGGGGGACUUCAAUGCAUAGUAAGAAAUAAUAAAUUCCAAAUCUUUUACAUCAUAUUACAUCCUUAUACAUCAUAUACAUAGUAAACU